This 530-nucleotide long non-coding RNA is filed under the name Gossypium raimondii (Peruvian cotton). RNAcentral's name for it is "long non-coding RNA (GRAI_LNC003155)". The record is from RNAcentral. Lineage: Eukaryota; Viridiplantae; Streptophyta; Magnoliopsida; Malvales; Malvaceae.
AUUCUAUUCUUCUAUUUCAUUGCUUGUAAAAAGUUACAAAAUGUUUGUUAAGCUUUUAUAGCCAAAUCGAGUACAUUUUUUAUUUUUUAUUUUCUCUGUUGUUGUUUCUAUUUCUUUCUCUUUUGUUUUUGCAAGCACUUUCGCGUGAUGGUGGCGAAGAGCUCUUCGGUCAACCAUGGUGGGGAGUCGUGUUUUUUUUCCAUUUUGGUGAAAGGAGGGCAAACUUCGGGUGGCGCGCUUGCUGAUGUGGUAAAGACAGCUGCUGGAGGGAGUUUAGGGUUCUAAGGUUUUUUUUUUGUUUAAGUUUUGGGCUAUUGGGUUGUUAGGUAUUUGGGCUUUAGGGUUUUGUUUUUUUUCCAUAUCCGCUAUAUCCACUUCGCUACAACUUUACGAGGGUAGGAUUUAGUGUUAUGGUUUCAUAUUGCUCUAUUGUAACUUCAAGGAGAUAAGAUUUGUUAUUGUAGCUUCAAUCUGACCCACUGCAACUUCAGAGGUGUAGGAUUUGUAGCUUCAAACUGCUCCAUUGCAAC